UUAAUUUGUCCAAAAAUAAAAAAAGUCGGGCAAAGUAUCAAGAAUGACAAGAGAAAGCUGAGAGAAACGACAGCUUGUGCUACCGUUUCGGCAUCUCUCUCUUGUCAUUCGAAUAAUUUUUUAUUGUUAAAAAUAUAAAAAAAUGAGAAAAUGACAAGAGACAACCCAUAUCCAUGGAAUCCCCAUCACUCCAUCACUCUCUCUCUCUCCCUUUCUCUCUCUCGACUUUCAUCUCUUUUUGGCUCCCAAUCACGCUUCCUCACUCUCUGGCUCACCAUCAUGCUUCUUCACUCUCUUCGACUACCAAACACAGAAGCACUGCCAGUUUUAGAUUCGGAAGCAGAACCCAACCGCCACUCAUUUUACGGUAAGUGAUUAAAGCAAAUGAUAAAUUUUUAUUUUUUGUGCAUUCUUGGAUUAAUUUUGUGAAUUCCGUGGGUUUCAGUAUCUGUUGUUUGGUGGUAAUUGUUUGAUGAUAAAGAUGAAUUUUUUUUGGAAAAUUAAUUGUGUGGAAAUUGCUUUGAAAACUGUUGGAUUUUGGUUCAAAGUAAUAUAGAAUUGUUGUGAAAAUUACUAUGUGAAAAUUGCUAAAUUUUAGUUCAGAUGAUUUGCUGUAUUCUAGUAAUUUUGAGAGUUAGUAUGUGUGCUAGAAUUGAACUCCAGAUUUUGUUUAGAAAGAUGGCUAGCAAAUGUAGCACCUAUAAUUUCAAUAAAAUAAAAAAUUAUAAAAAUUGGAUAUUGUGAAACGUACUCAAGUCAAAUUGUUUCUGAGAAAUUAAAGUCCUGUUUUGAUUUGUACUUUCAAAUACACAAAGUAUACUAAAGUAAAAGAUUUUAAAGAAAUUAAUCAACUUCAUUCUUACCAUUUAAUGUGACUUAAAGGCCUAAUUAAUUACACAAAAUUAAUGGUGGACAACGUAAAAGAAAAUAUUAAUUACAAUACUAAUCUGGGUCAUAUUUUCAUUGCAUAAUGGUCACACAAUUAUUGUAAUCUAUGCAUUUCAUAAUGACUAUGAUACUUGGCAUAAAUGAAUGCAAUAUUAAUGAUUUUAUUUCGACCAUAAAUAUUUUAUUUUAGAUUAUUCUUUUUUAAUUUUGUUGUCUAAUUACUUGAAUUUUCUUAAUUUCAUUGUCUAAUUACUCAGUUUUACAUGGAUAUCUUGUGAUAAUAUUACAUGUGAUUAAUUAAUUAUCUUAUUAUUUUUUUAAUUUUAAUUUUUUUGACAAUUUUUUAUGUUUCUUAGCUGAAAAAUAUGAGUGUUGCAGAGUGCUUUGUGUUUUCAUACUCCCUUUUUUUUUGGGCAGUUAAAAUAGUCUAUUAAUGAUAAUGUCAUCUCGCAAAAAUGAAACUCAAAACUCAUUACAAAUAUGUAAUGAAUGUAGUGGCCAAAUGGAUUUGUUAUUGUCACGUACUACAAAGAAUCCAAAUCACAAAUUUUGGAAAUGUAGAAAAUGUAAAAACUUUCAAUGGACAGAAAACCGUAAAUCUAACGAAGAGAAAAUUGACCUCCUAGUGGAGGAGGUUAUGAAGUUGACAUUGGAGAUUGAGUGUUUGUCUGUUAAAUUUCAAUUGUUUCAUAAAGAACUUGAGUAUAUGCAAUAAUGUGAAGUGCAGAGACGAUUGUUUGACGAUGAAUUUCAAAGGAGAUAGACAUGAGGAUAUGAUUUAAUUAGAAUACUUGUGAUUGUUGUACUAUGUUUUAUAUUCAAGUUUUAUUUUUAGGUUGUUUCAAUUUGCAUUAUCUACUGGGAAAACUUGUAGACAUAUAUAAUAAUAUUUUCACUCGAAAUAUAAGACUCUAAGUUCUUUCACUUUAUUCAAUUGGAAGUUAGAUUCAAAUUGUUGUUAUAAAAACUUUAUUUGAUGCCAAAAUAGCACACAAUGAGUACAAGCACGUUGAAAUUGUAAUAAUUUAUGCCGUUCAAAAUUAUUAGGAAGUAUGAUAAAAAAUUAUCAAAAAAGCCACCAGACCAACAAAAAUUAUCCGAA
RNAcentral lists this long non-coding RNA (1990 nucleotides) under Citrus maxima (pomelo). Its description in RNAcentral is "long non-coding RNA (CMAX_LNC004054)". Lineage: Eukaryota; Viridiplantae; Streptophyta; Magnoliopsida; Sapindales; Rutaceae. The record is from RNAcentral.